This 469-nucleotide long non-coding RNA is filed under the name Mus pahari (shrew mouse). RNAcentral describes it as "lncRNA (MGP_PahariEiJ_G0004217.1)". The record is from RNAcentral. Lineage: Eukaryota; Metazoa; Chordata; Mammalia; Rodentia; Muridae.
CCCGCCAAGGCAUCCUUGCCUGUAUUUAUAUACACUAAAACCUCUGCCGGGAUAAAACAGCCAUGUAAAAUCCAAUUUCCUCAGAAUCUCUUUUGGAGCCUGGGCCUGAGAGAUGGAGUAGGUAACCUCGGCGGUUACCGCCUGAACCACUCCUGCUGGCUGCAAAGCUUGGAACUUGUCCCUUCCUGGACUGUGAAAAGAGCAUACAGCCCAACCUCCCUGCCAACAAGCUGUACCAUCCUGAAGAGGAAAGCCCAAUGGUAGAAGCACAUCAGUGAUUCCCAGCUUCUGUUUCUAUCAGAACUGCUUGAUGAAGCUCCUUUAACACAAAUAGAUUUACUCACAUACCUUAACUGUAAGAGGUGUGUAUGUGCCAGCAGGGGUUUCUGGAACCAUGUACCUUUGUCGGAGCUCCCCCAUUUAAUUCUUACACAAUUCCACGCAGGUAUUACCUAAAGAGAACCAUUAC